This is a long non-coding RNA of Nicotiana attenuata, 678 nucleotides long. RefSeq lists it as uncharacterized. Lineage: Eukaryota; Viridiplantae; Streptophyta; Magnoliopsida; Solanales; Solanaceae. The record is from RefSeq and is a predicted model, not a curated record. The transcript is spliced from 4 exons.
GAUACAUUCACCCCAAAUUGAGAAACUAUCAUCUCUGCCAGAGAAGAGAGAUGCACAAAAUUGAUUAGACCCCUCAUGUAUAUCUCUCUCUAUCGUCGGCACCCAAAUCAUCUCGCACUAUUGUCGGCCACCAUCACCAGAUUCUAUUAUUUCAUGAAGAAACCACUCUGUUGGGAUCUCUUUGUGGCAAUAGAAAUGGGCUGCACCAGCAUCAGCGUUAAAUAUCUUGCAGUCUUGAUGCUUAUCAUUCGACAAGCCAGAUAGAAUGCAGGACAAUUAAGCAAGUGAUGGAAUAAAUCAUGUGAAGGGUGCAAUUGUGUUUCUAAUAGUGUUACCACGAUUUCACCAAUUUAUGCUCAAGAUGUCCGAACUGCUCAGUUUACUUUGAAGCUAUAAUCCACAAAUAACGUGGCUUCAAAGUCACUGUCUAAUGGAUGCAAUUUGCUGGAGUCAUCAAGAAUCGACCGUGUUUGUUUAGCCUUGUCAAGACACAAUGAAUGACGACCCGGUAUCAUCUGAUUCAUGUGGGGCAGAAAUGUCGAUUUAGAGAAUAAAUGCUUUGUUCCAAAUCUAAAUAUGAUGAUGCCCUUGGAGGCUAAAACUGACACCGUAUGGAACUAGGCUUGUAGAAGGAGAAACAACUAUUAUUGGAUUCCAAUGACGUAUUUUUCUUAUAUG